RNAcentral lists this ribosomal RNA (430 nucleotides) under uncultured bacterium. RNAcentral's name for it is "partial 16S ribosomal RNA". It matches the Rfam family "Bacterial small subunit ribosomal RNA", at positions 354 to 796 of the family's 1533-position model. The record is from RNAcentral.
GUGGGGAAUAUUGCACAAUGGGCGCAAGCCUGAUGCAGCAACGCCGCGUGAGGGAUGACGGCCUUCGGGUUGUAAACCUCUUUUAGUAGGGAAGAAGCGAAAGUGACGGUACCUGCAGAAAAAGCACCGGCUAACUACGUGCCAGCAGCCGCGGUAAUACGUAGGGUGCAAGCGUUGUCCGGAAUUAUUGGGCGUAAAGAGCUCGUAGGCGGCUUGUCGCGUCUGCUGUGAAAUCCCGGGGCUCAACCCCGGGCCUGCAGUGGGUACGGGCAGGCUAGAGUGCGGUAGGGGAGAUUGGAAUUCCUGGUGUAGCGGUGGAAUGCGCAGAUAUCAGGAGGAACACCGAUGGCGAAGGCAGAUCUCUGGGCCGCUACUGACGCUGAGGAGCGAAAGCAUGGGGAGCGAACAGGAUUAGAUACCCUAGUAGUCC